AGUGAACGCUGGCGGUAGGCCUAACACAUGCAAGUCGAACGGCAGCACAGUAAGAGCUUGCUCUUACGGGUGGCGAGUGGCGGACGGGUGAGGAAUACAUCGGAAUCUACUUUUUCGUGGGGGAUAACGUAGGGAAACUUACGCUAAUACCGCAUACGACCUACGGGUGAAAGCAGGGGAUCUUCGGACCCUGCGCGAUUGAAUGAGCCGAUGUCGGAUUAGCUAGUUGGCGGGGGUAAAGGCCCACCAAGGCGACGAUCCGUAGCUGGUCUGAGAGGAUGAUCAGCCACACUGGAACUGAGACACGGUCCAGACUCCUACGGGAGGCAGCAGUGGGGAAUAUUGGACAAUGGGCGCAAGCCUGAUCCAGCCAUACCGCGUGGGUGAAGAAGGCCUUCGGGUUGUAAAGCCCUUUUGUUGGGAAAGAAAAGCAGCAGGUUAAUACCCCGCUGUUCUGACGGUACCCAAAGAAUAAGCACCGGCUAACUUCGUG
RNAcentral lists this ribosomal RNA (493 nucleotides) under uncultured bacterium. RNAcentral's name for it is "partial 16S ribosomal RNA". It matches the Rfam family "Bacterial small subunit ribosomal RNA", at positions 29 to 507 of the family's 1533-position model. The record is from RNAcentral.